UGCAUUUACAACGUGUCUUUAGU
Molecule: microRNA, 23 nt
Filed under: Schmidtea mediterranea
Lineage: Eukaryota; Metazoa; Platyhelminthes; Tricladida; Dugesiidae
Description: sme-miR-124b-5p
Gene: sme-miR-124b-5p
Source: miRBase by way of RNAcentral